RNAcentral lists this long non-coding RNA (208 nucleotides) under Eucalyptus grandis. Its description in RNAcentral is "long non-coding RNA (EGRA_LNC000224)". Lineage: Eukaryota; Viridiplantae; Streptophyta; Magnoliopsida; Myrtales; Myrtaceae. The record is from RNAcentral.
ACUCUGCCACUUACAAUACCCCGUUGCGUAUUUAAGUCGUUUGCAAAAAAUUCUAUUCAUCGCUCAAUAGGAAUUGUGCUUCAAGGCGGCCCACGCGGUUCAUCCACUGCGAGAGCUUCACCAACGACACGUGCCCUUGGGGGAACAAGUCCCCUAUUGCAGGUCGGCAAUCGAGCAGCAAGCUUAUGCGUCACUUCUAGCCCGGAUU